AGAGUUUGAUCAUGGCUCAGGACGAACGCUGGCGGCGUGCUUAACACAUGCAAGUCGAACGGUAAGGCCCCUUCGGGGGUACACGAGUGGCGAACGGGUGAGUAACACGUGAGCAACCUGCCCUUGACUCUGGGAUAACAGUUGGAAACAGCUGCUAAUACCGGAUACGACCUCCGAUGACAUCAUCUGGAGGUGGAAAGCGCUUUAGCGGUCAAGGAUGGGCUCGCGGCCUAUCAGCUUGUUGGUGAGGUAACGGCUCACCAAGGCUUCGACGGGUAGCCGGCCUGAGAGGGCGACCGGCCACACUGGGACUGAGAUACGGCCCAGACUCCUACGGGAGGCAGCAGUGGGGAAUAUUGCACAAUGGGCGCAAGCCUGAUGCAGCAACGCCGCGUGCGGGAUGACGGCCUUCGGGUUGUAAACCGCUUUCAGUUCCGACGAAGCGCAAGUGACGGUAGGAACAGAAGAAGGACCGGCCAACUACGUGCCAGCAGCCGCGGUG
RNAcentral lists this ribosomal RNA (502 nucleotides) under uncultured Actinomycetes bacterium. Its description in RNAcentral is "bacterial SSU rRNA". It matches the Rfam family "Bacterial small subunit ribosomal RNA", at positions 8 to 522 of the family's 1533-position model. Lineage: Bacteria; Bacillati; Actinomycetota; Actinomycetes. The record is from RNAcentral.